UGGGGGAUUUUGCACAAUGGGCGAAAGCCUGAUGCAGCGACGCCGCGUGGGGGAUGAAGUUCUCCGGGUUGUAAAUCUCUUUUGUUCUUAACAAGGCAUGCUUUUGGGGUGUGUUGAGUGUAGGGGUUGAUUAGCGCCGGCUAACUACGUGCCAGCAGCCGCGGUAAUACGUAGGGCGCGAGCGUUGUCUGGAAUUAUUGGGCGUAAAGGGCUUGUAGGUGGCUGGUUGCGUCUGUCGUGAAAGCUCAUGGCUUAACUGUGGGUUUGCGGUGGGUCAGGGCUGGCUUGAGUGCAGUAGGGGAGGCUGGAAUUCCCGGUGGAGCGGUGGAAUGCGCAGAUAUCAGGAGGAAUACCGGGAGCGAAGGCGGGUCUCUGGGCUGUUACUGACGCUGAGGAGCGAAAGCGUGGGGAGCGAACAGG
RNAcentral lists this ribosomal RNA (420 nucleotides) under Fusobacteriota bacterium. RNAcentral's name for it is "Fusobacteria bacterium partial 16S ribosomal RNA". It matches the Rfam family "Bacterial small subunit ribosomal RNA", at positions 355 to 776 of the family's 1533-position model. The record is from RNAcentral. Lineage: Bacteria; Fusobacteriati; Fusobacteriota.